AUUGAACGCUGGCGGCAUGCCUUACACAUGCAAGUCGAACGGCAGCGGGGGAGAAGCUUGCUUUUCCUGCCGGCGAGUGGCGAACGGGUGAGUAAUACAUCGGAACGUGCCCUGUAGUGGGGGAUAACUAGUCGAAAGAUUAGCUAAUACCGCAUACGACCUGAGGGUGAAAGUGGGGGACCGCAAGGCCUCAUGCUAUAGGAGCGGCCGAUGUCUGAUUAGCUAGUUGGUGGGGUAAAGGCCUACCAAGGCGACGAUCAGUAGCUGGUCUGAGAGGACGAUCAGCCACACUGGGACUUAGACACGGCACCGACUCCUACGGGAGGCAGCAGUGGGGAAUUUUGGACAAUGGGCGAAAACCUGAUCCAGCAAUGCCGCGUGUGUGAAGAAGGCCUUCGGGUUGUAAAGCACUUUUGUCCGGAAAGAAAUGGCUCUGGUUAAUACCUGGGUUCGAUGACGGUACCGGAAUAAUAAGGACCGGCUAACUACGUGCCAGCAGCCGCCGUAA
This 508-nucleotide ribosomal RNA is filed under the name uncultured bacterium. Its description in RNAcentral is "partial 16S ribosomal RNA". It matches the Rfam family "Bacterial small subunit ribosomal RNA", at positions 30 to 523 of the family's 1533-position model. The record is from RNAcentral.